This 22-nucleotide small nuclear RNA is filed under the name Arabidopsis thaliana (thale cress). Its description in RNAcentral is "snRNA_05563". Lineage: Eukaryota; Viridiplantae; Streptophyta; Magnoliopsida; Brassicales; Brassicaceae. The record is from RNAcentral.
AAACAGUGAAAAGUGACUACUU